This is a long non-coding RNA of Dreissena polymorpha, 2289 nucleotides long. RefSeq lists it as uncharacterized. The transcript has 2 exons. The record is from RefSeq and is a predicted model, not a curated record. NCBI's taxonomy places the organism in Eukaryota, Metazoa, Mollusca, Bivalvia, Myida, Dreissenidae.
UCUUUCCGCUGUAAACAGACGACAAAAUGGCAAGUAUACGUUUUUCAACGAAAAGAGCGAGGAGGUUUUGAAGGCAUUGGAUCGUGACAAGGACUCUUAAAACAUUAAACGUGUAGUUGAACAUGGUAUGAACUUGUACGACGAAUAUCUUCGUUCGAAUUACAUGGAUCUUAGUGAUCUCGUGGAAAAUCCAGCGGAACAACCAGUUAUUGAGUUACGCUUUUUUCUAUGCAUCUGUACGUCAGAAAAUCGGCGAGGAACUAAAGAAAAAAACUUUGGACAGUCUGAAGUAGGGAAUUUCCAAGCAUCUCUUAAGCACGUAAACCAUUAAUUUGAAAGACCAGCAAUUCUCAUCAAGUAAUGAAACCUUCAAGUCAAAAGUUAAGCAGCUUAAGCGAAGUGGACAUGGGAGUGUCGACCACAAACCUGUAAUAUCCGACGGCGAUCUGGAAAUAUUAAGUGGCAACAGCGUACCGUUUAAUAGUAACAUAUUAACUUUCAAUGUGGUUUUCAAAACAGGGUGUGGUUUAACUUAAUGCACUACCUUCUGAGGAGAGGUCAAGAGAAUUUAGGGUCAAUGACGAAGUCAACAUAACUAUAGCAACUGAUUCAACCGGGAGAAAGUUUAUACACCAGGUCAUCGCAGAAUCAACAAAAAAUCACGGGAUUGACGAUAUGCCUGAUGAUACCAUAGGAGAAGGAAAGAUUUACAAGCAGCCUGGCAGUACGUUUUGUCCAGUCCGAUGCUUUGAGAAGUACCUAUCUAAACUGAACCCUAAACUCGAAGCAUUAUGGCAAAGACCGUUAGAAUUAUUUCAAGAGACCAGUGACAUUUGGUAUUGUGCUGCACCAUUAGGAAAGAAUACUUUGACUGUGUUAGUCAGUGAACUUUUAUUUUUGUUAUCAAAAUAUAAAUGGUUAUUCAUUGCUAUAUUUAACUACAAUUAUUGAAUCUUAAAAUUGUUCAUGGUUCUUAUAAAUUGUUCAUGUUUGAAAAGCCUGUUCGGUAUAAUAAAAUUAAUAUUAUAUGUCUGACAGGGUGACCUCUUUCAAACAUGUAAUAUUUAUUUUAUUAUACCGAACAAGUGAUAAGAAAUUGACUGUGUUAACCUUCAAAUUCUCCUCGCUUAUCGUUGAAAAACGUUUGCUGGCAAUAUUGCUUGUUUACAACGUCAUAAAUUGCGUAAUCAAGUGAUAAGAAAUUGACUGUGUUAACCAGUGUACUUUUAUUUUUGUUAUCUAAAUAUAAAUGGUUAUUCAUUGCUGUAUUUAAAUACAAUUAUUGAAUAUUAAAAUUGUUCAUGGUUCUUAUAAACUGUUUAUGUUUGAAAAGUUUGUUCGGUAUAAUAAAAUCAAUAUUACAUGUCUGACAGGGUGACCCUUGUCAGACAUGUAAUAUUUAUUUUAUUAUACCGAACAAAUGAUAAGAAAUUGACUGUGUUUACCUUCAAAUCCUCCUAACUUAUCGUUGAAAAACGUUUGCUGGCAAUAUUGCUUGCCAUUUUGUCGUCUGUUUACAACGUCAUAAAUUGCGUAAUCAAGCGAUAAGAAAUUGAUUGUGUUAACCAGUGUACUUUUACUUUUGUUAUCAAAAUUUAAAUGGUUAUUCAUUGCUGUAUUUAAAUACAAUUAUUGAAUAUUAAAAUUGUGCACGGUUCUUAUAAAUUGUUCAUGUUUGAUAAGUUUGUUCGGUAUAAUAAAAUAAAUAUUACAUGUCUGACAGGGUGACAGUAAAUUUGUCAACUUUCGGAAAAAUACUGUCAACCUCGGCAUCGCCUUGGUUGACAGUAUUUCCUCAAGUUGACAAAUUUACUGUCACCCUGUCAGCCAUGUAAUAUUUAUAUAAAGUAUACGUUAUCAACACGCAACAUGUUUAAACAAGGUGACCCAUAUAGUGCCAAUUUUAAGGGCCCAGUAAAUUGUAAUUUGUUUGUGAUCAAUCAUUACCAUAAUCAAAUUAUCAAUAUAAGUGCAAGUCUAUCAAUGUUUAAUAGGGCUAACAUGAUCUGUAUAAUAGAAACUAGCAACUGGUGCAUACGAUAUAUCUGGUCUAAUGCUUGAAUACUGUUGUUGUUAUAUAUAUACAAUAUGCUUUGCAAUAUUGCUAGGUGCUUUAACUGUUUCCUACCAACAAUGCAAGAUGUUAAAUACACAGUUGUUGGUUUCCACUAACCGGACUGACCCUAAUGUUCGGUGCCAAUAAAACCCUUUUGUUUGAUAUUUUAGUCUGAUAUUUCGUUCUUGUUUGUUCUUAAUUCGAUCGUAAUAAAACACAAUCUGAAACGUAAA